UCCAUGGUUACAUGAUGAAACAUGUGUUGGUAGGGACAUCUGAAUGAAUGUGAUGAAAAUCCAACACCCCUGACUCCAUGGA
Small nucleolar RNA from Nothobranchius furzeri (turquoise killifish), 82 nucleotides. The record is from Ensembl. NCBI's taxonomy places the organism in Eukaryota, Metazoa, Chordata, Actinopteri, Cyprinodontiformes, Nothobranchiidae.